RNAcentral lists this ribosomal RNA (492 nucleotides) under uncultured bacterium. Its description in RNAcentral is "partial 16S ribosomal RNA". It matches the Rfam family "Bacterial small subunit ribosomal RNA", at positions 29 to 507 of the family's 1533-position model. The record is from RNAcentral.
AGUGAACGCUGGCGGUAGGCCUAACACAUGCAAGUCGAACGGCAGCACAGUAAGAGCUUGCUCUUACGGGUGGCGAGUGGCGGACGGGUGAGGAAUACAUCGGAAUCUACUUUUUCGUGGGGGAUAACGUAGGGAAACUUACGCUAAUACCGCAUACGACCUACGGGUGAAAGCAGGGGAUCUUCGGACCUUGCGCGAUUGAAUGAGCCGAUGUCGGAUUAGCUAGUUGGCGGGGUAAAGGCCCACCAAGGCGACGAUCCGUAGCUGGUCUGAGAGGAUGAACAAGCACAAUGGAACUGGAGCACGGUCCAGACCUCUACGGGGAGGAACAGUGGGGAAUAAUUGGCAAUGGGGGGAAACCCUGUCCAAGCAAUCCCGGGGGGUGGAAGAGGCCUUUGGGUUUGUAAACCCUUUUUGUGGGGAAGAAAAGCAGCAGGGUUAUACCCCGGUGGUCUGACGGGACCCAAAAGAUAAGGAACGGCUAACUUCGGG